CACGGAGUUAGCCGGGGCUUAUUCUCCCGGUACUGUCAUUAUCAUCCCGGGUAAAAGAGCUUUACAACCCUAAGGCCUUCAUCACUCACGCGGCAUUGCUGGAUCAGGCUUGCGCCCAUUGUCCAAUAUUCCCCACUGCUGCCUCCCGUAGGAGUCUGGGCCGUGUCUCAGUCCCAGUGUGGCUGAUCAUCCUCUCAGACCAGCUAAGGAUCGUCGCCUUGGUGCGCCUUUACCACACCAACUAGCUAAUCCUACGCGGGCUCAUCCCUAGGCGAUAAAUCUUUGGACUUACGUCAUCAUCCGGUAUUAGCAGUCAUUUCUAACUGUUAUUCCGAACCUAAGGGCAGAUUCCCACGCGUUACGCACCCGUGCGCCACUAAGGCCGAAGCCUUCGUUCGACUUGCAUGUGUUAGGCAUGCCGCCAGCGUUCGUUCUGAGCCAGGAUCAAACUCU
This 453-nucleotide ribosomal RNA is filed under the name uncultured Sphingomonas sp. RNAcentral describes it as "partial 16S ribosomal RNA". The record is from RNAcentral. Lineage: Bacteria; Pseudomonadati; Pseudomonadota; Alphaproteobacteria; Sphingomonadales; Sphingomonadaceae.